Molecule: non-coding RNA, 31 nt
Filed under: Mus musculus (house mouse)
Lineage: Eukaryota; Metazoa; Chordata; Mammalia; Rodentia; Muridae
Source: RNAcentral
UGAGACACAUCCUACACAAGGGGUUCUUAAC